This is an unclassified non-coding RNA of Microcebus murinus (gray mouse lemur), 106 nucleotides long. It matches the Rfam family "Y RNA". From Rfam's summary of the family: Y RNAs are components of the Ro ribonucleoprotein particle (Ro RNP), in association with Ro60 and La proteins. The Y RNAs and Ro60 and La proteins are well conserved, but the function of the Ro RNP is not known. The record is from Ensembl. NCBI's taxonomy places the organism in Eukaryota, Metazoa, Chordata, Mammalia, Primates, Cheirogaleidae.
GGUUGGUCUGAGUGCAGUGGUGUUUACAACUAAUUAAUUGAUCACAACCAGUUACAGAUUCCUUUGUUCCUUCUCCACUCCCACUGCUUCACUUGACCAGCCAAAA